Molecule: ribosomal RNA, 709 nt
Filed under: uncultured bacterium
Lineage: Bacteria
Description: bacterial SSU rRNA
Rfam family: Bacterial small subunit ribosomal RNA
Source: RNAcentral
AGAGUUUGAUCCUGGCUCAGAUUGAACGCUGGCGGCAUGCCUUACACAUGCAAGUCGAGCGGCAGCGCGGGGGCAACCCUGGCGGCGAGCGGCGGACGGGUGAGUAAUACAUCGGAACGUGUCCUUUCGUGGGGGAUAACCAGUCGAAAGACUGGCUAAUACCGCAUGAGAUCUCACGAUGAAAGCGGGGGACCGCAAGGCCUCGCGCGAUUGGAGCGGCCGAUGUCGGAUUAGCUAGUUGGCGGGGUAAAAGCCCACCAAGGCUACAAUCCGUAGCUGGUUUGAGAGAACGACCAGCCACACUGGGACUGAGACACGGCCCAGACUCCUACGGGAGGCAGCAGUGGGGAAUUUUGGACAAUGGGCGCAAGCCUGAUCCAGCCAUGCCGCGUGUGUGAAGAAGGCCUUCGGGUUGUAAAGCACUUUCGGCCGGAACGAAAUCGCGCGAAUUAAUAACUCGCGUGGAUGACGGUACCGGAAGAAGAAGCACCGGCUAACUACGUGCCAGCAGCCGCGGUAAUACGUAGGGUGCGAGCGUUAAUCGGAAUUACUGGGCGUAAAGGGUGCGCAGGCGGUUCUGCAAGUCAGGCGUGAAAGCCCCGGGCUUAACCUGGGAAUGGCGCUUGAAACUACAGGACUGGAGUAUGGCAGAGGGAGGUGGAAUUCCACGUGUAGCGGUGAAAUGCGUANAGAUGUGGAGGAACACCGA